GGCUCAGUUUGUGGAGUGUUUACCUAGUAUGUAAAAGUCCUGGGUUCAAUUCCCUG
This 56-nucleotide transfer RNA is filed under the name Mesocricetus auratus (golden hamster). Lineage: Eukaryota; Metazoa; Chordata; Mammalia; Rodentia; Cricetidae. The record is from Rfam by way of RNAcentral.